UAAAAGGGUGCUCGUCUCGGCGGGUUUCUGAUCGAAAAACUGCUCGACGCAUUGCGCCGCCGACACAUCCAAACACCCUUCUCGGGUGGGGUGUGCGCUGAAUUGCCACCUUUGGUGGGUCGGCGUGCCCAGUGGGGUAUGGCUUUGCAUAUCCAGUGCGUAAUUUUUGUAGCCCUGGGGCUGCGGCUGGCAACGUCAGUCCAUUGGAUUGCAGGUUCGCCUGCGUGCCAGUGGCCGUUUGCGCUGUGCCCCA
Molecule: small nuclear RNA, 253 nt
Organism: Scaptodrosophila lebanonensis
Lineage: Eukaryota; Metazoa; Arthropoda; Insecta; Diptera; Drosophilidae
Product: U11 spliceosomal RNA
Exons: 1
Source: RefSeq, a predicted model, not a curated record